CCUACGGGUGGCAGCAGUGGGGAAUAUUGGACAAUGGGGGGAACCCUGAUCCAGCGACGCCGCGUGAGUGAAGAAGUAUUUCGGUAUGUAAAGCUCUAUCAGCAGGGAAGAAAAUGACGGUACCUGACUAAGAAGCCCCGGCUAACUACGUGCCAGCAGCCGCGGUAAUACGUAGGGGGCAAGCGUUAUCCGGAUUUACUGGGUGUAAAGGGAGCGCAGACGGCUUGGCAAGUCUGAAGUGAAAGCCCGGGGCUUAACCCCGGGACUGCUUUGGAAACUGUGAAGCUAGAGUGUCGGAGAGGUAAGUGGAAUUCCCAGUGUAGCGGUGAAAUGCGUAGAUAUUGGGAGGAACACCGGUGGCGAAGGCGGCUUACUGGACGAUAACUGACGUUGAGGCUCGAAGGCGUGGGGAGCAAACAGGAUUAGAUACCCCAGUAGUC
Molecule: ribosomal RNA, 440 nt
Filed under: uncultured Lachnospiraceae bacterium
Lineage: Bacteria; Bacillati; Bacillota; Clostridia; Lachnospirales; Lachnospiraceae
Description: bacterial SSU rRNA
Rfam family: Bacterial small subunit ribosomal RNA
Source: RNAcentral